AUUAAAUCAAUGACGGAACAAGUACGUUACAGUCCAUUUAUAGAGAGAAGCUUCCAUAUGGCUGAAAGAAGCUUUAAAUGAAGGGUAACAGAAAGCUAAUCCUGAGAGCAGCUAAUCACUGCCGUCUUGCCACGUUACGGCACCAUGAGGUGAUGAAUUGAUUGUUAUUGUAAUCAAUUCAUAAUUAGGGUGGUAUCGCGAGUUAACUCUCGUCCCUUUU
This is a non-coding RNA of Bacillus thuringiensis serovar israelensis ATCC 35646, 220 nucleotides long. Lineage: Bacteria; Bacillati; Bacillota; Bacilli; Caryophanales; Bacillaceae. The record is from Rfam.